Molecule: ribosomal RNA, 463 nt
Filed under: uncultured bacterium
Lineage: Bacteria
Description: bacterial SSU rRNA
Rfam family: Bacterial small subunit ribosomal RNA
Source: RNAcentral
CCAGACUCCUACGGGAGGCAGCAGUGAGGAAUAUUGGUCAAUGGGAGGAAUCCUGAACCAGCCAUGCCGCGUGCAGGACGACGGCUCUACGAGUUGUAAACUGCUUUUGUACCGGGGUAAAAUGCCUUACGAGUAGGGUUUUGAAAGUACGGUACGAAUAAGGAUCGGCUAACUCCGUGCCAGCAGCCGCGGUAAUACGGAGGAUCCGAGCGUUAUCCGGAUUUAUUGGGUUUAAAGGGUGCGUAGGCGGUCCGGAAAGCCAGCGGAAAAACCCGGGGGCCCACCCCCGGCGAGCCGUUGAAACUGUCGGACUAGAGACGGCGAGAAGUACGCGGAAUGCGCGGUGUAGCGGUGAAAUGCAUAGAUAUCGCGCAGAACUCCGAUUGCGAAGGCAGCAUGCCGGCUCCACACUGACGCUGAGGCACGAAAGCGUGGGUAUCGAACAGGAUUAGAUACCCGAGUA